GACAGAGGGUGCAAACGUUGUUCGGAAUUACUGGGCGUAAAGCGAGUGUAGGCGGUCUUGUAAGUCGGGUGUGAAAUCUCGGAGCUUAACUCCGAAACUGCAUUCGAUACUGCCGUGCUUGAGGACUGGAGAGGAGACUGGAAUUUACGGUGUAGCGGUGAAAUGCGUAGAUAUCGUAAGGAAGACCAGUGGCGAAGGCGGGUCUCUGGACAGUUCCUGACGCUGAGGCACGAAGGCCAGGGGAGCAAACGGG
Molecule: ribosomal RNA, 253 nt
Filed under: uncultured bacterium
Lineage: Bacteria
Description: partial 16S ribosomal RNA
Rfam family: Bacterial small subunit ribosomal RNA
Source: RNAcentral